This 148-nucleotide signal recognition particle RNA is filed under the name Gorilla gorilla gorilla (western lowland gorilla). RNAcentral describes it as "Metazoan signal recognition particle RNA". It matches the Rfam family "Metazoan signal recognition particle RNA". Rfam says of the family: The signal recognition particle (SRP) is a universally conserved ribonucleoprotein. The record is from Rfam by way of RNAcentral. Lineage: Eukaryota; Metazoa; Chordata; Mammalia; Primates; Hominidae.
GCUGGGUGUGGUGGCGCAUGCCUGUAGUCCCAGCUACUCAGGAGGCUGAGGUAGGAGGAUUGCUUGAGCUCAGGAGGUCAAGGCUGCAGUGAGCCAUGAUAGUGCCACUGCACUCCAGCCUGGGUGACAGAGUGAGACCUUGUCUCAC